GACGAACGCUGGCGGCGUGCCUAAUACAUGCAAGUAGAACGCUGAAGGAGGAGCUUGCUUCUCCGGAUGAGUUGCGAACGGGUGAGUAACGCGUAGGUAACCUGCCUGGUAGCGGGGGAUAACUAUUGGAAACGAUAGCUAAUACUGCAUAAGAGUAGAUGUCGCAUGACAUUUGCUUAAAAGGUGCAACUGCACCACUACCAGAUGGACCUGCGUUGUAUUAGCUAGUUGGUGAGGUAACGGCUCACCAAGGCAACGAUACAUAGCCGACCUGAGAGGGUGAUCGGCCACACUGGGACUGAGACACGGCCCAGACUCCUACGGGAGGCAGCAGUAGGGAAUCUUCGGCAAUGGACGGAAGUCUGACCGAGCAACGCCGCGUGAGUGAAGAAGGUUUUCGGAUCGUAAAGCUCUGUUGUAAGAGAAGAACCAGUGUGAGAGUGGAAAGCUCACACUGUGACGGUAUCUUACCAGAAAGGGACGGCUAACUACGUG
This 495-nucleotide ribosomal RNA is filed under the name uncultured bacterium. RNAcentral's name for it is "partial 16S ribosomal RNA". It matches the Rfam family "Bacterial small subunit ribosomal RNA", at positions 28 to 507 of the family's 1533-position model. The record is from RNAcentral.